This 229-nucleotide ribosomal RNA is filed under the name uncultured bacterium. RNAcentral describes it as "partial 16S ribosomal RNA". It matches the Rfam family "Bacterial small subunit ribosomal RNA", at positions 15 to 228 of the family's 1533-position model. The record is from RNAcentral.
GAUCCUGCUCAGGACGAACGCUGGCGGCGUGCUUAACACAUGCAAGUCGAACGAGAAUCUGUGGAUCGAGGAUUCGUCCAAGUGAAGCAGAGGACAGUGGCGGACGGGUGAGUAACGCGUGAGGAACCUGCCUUUCAGAGGGGGACAACAGUUGGAAACGACUGCUAAUACCGCAUGAUACGUAUUGGGGGCAUCCCUGAGACGUCAAAGAUUUAUCGCUGAAAGAUGG